AGAAAUUGCAAAUGUGAAUCACCUGUAGGAGAGGAAGGAGUUGAGCUGGAAGUAUAAUGCCUUGGUAAACAUCCGAAAACUGUGUUAUGAUACAAAGGAGUCUCAUCCUAGCUAGAUUUUAAAUGAAUCAAUUCCGGUCUUCCAAAAUCCAGAGUUAUCAGGAAAGGGUUCAGAGCUGGUUGCAGAGAAGACAAAAAUAAUCUCUGAGGCAUUGGAACAGAAGUAAAAGAGACCAGAUUUAAUAUCCUUUGGAUAUGCUCAUGCACGACACAUCACAGAGAAAUGUGAUGAAGGAAGGAUGAGGGAUCAUUACUGAGUGACAUGGGUAAUGACCUACAAUGGGAGAUUAUGGUACUUUAAUGUUAAACAUGCUGUUGUUCAUCAAACGCUAGCGUAGAAUAACUUCCUUUCAAAGAGCCAAACAUUGAAGUUCCGGAUGGCAGCUGCAGGAGGCAGAUCUAGAAGCUGUGACACAGGCUGACUAGCUGUCUUUGGGCACCUCAAUUUGCCAUAAAGCCGAAUGAGGCAGUAGAGGAAAACAGCUUGAGAUUUGUCUCACCAACUGCAGUCUCCACUUCAAGGAGCUGAAUGAUUUGCUGAGGAUAUUAAUUUCAAAAGCCAGACAGCAAGAGAUCAGCUGAGAUGAAAGAUCACUGCAAAGUGACCUCAGACCAGGGGAAAAGAAAAGGAGAAGAGGAGGAUGUGAUUCAGAACAGGAAUUCGGUGCUGUACAGUCUAGCAGUGAACCACAUCAGAUGCUUUCUGACACCAAAGGUGAUCUUCAUGUGACUAUGGUCACGGUCUGUGGAGAGAACGGGAACAUAAUUCACCUGGCUUAUUUUAGAUAUCAACAGUGGGAUGUGGUAAAUUAAUACCCUAGACUCACUGGUUUAUAAAACUUGGGUAUAAUUUCUGCAGUUACAUGCUUCACUCCCAGGGUCCACAGGGUUGGUGAAGGGUAGGUACGUACAAAUCUAAAAUGAGCCACCACCUGCCUUAUCUGUAUGUAGUCAUGAGCUUAUUUGAUCACUACACCUGUGACAUUAGACUUCAUGACCAGGGAAAUUGUAGCUAAGUAGAGACAGUGUAUAAUGAGAGCAAGUUGAUCAGGACCUUUGUUAACAACAAACAUAGUAAACUUAAUUUCUUUGAUCUUUAAAACAAUUUUCACAGUCUUGAGAUGUUAAUAAGGAUUUAAAAGCUUUUCUCCAUAAAAUGUUUACUGUUGAAAUCAGAACUGAAUUUGUGUAGUUAAACUGUUAUGCAUCCCUGAAUAGAUAAAUUAAAAGUAGUUUAAUCCUACUGUACUUCGGCUUUAGCUUAGUUUGGCAAUCUAGCAGUGCGAGUAAUACUGCUUUCACUUAGGGAUUGUCACUGCUUCACUUUAAUAAAUUAACUAACAAGACAUAAACUAAGUGAAUCUGAGGGGCUCUGAGAGCCAUGGGCUAGAUCUUCCCCAGAGAACCAAAACCAGUGGUAGGUGGGUGCCAGUUCUCAGUGUAACACAGAAUUAAUGAAGAGGUUGUCAUGAAGCUUGUUUGGGUGGAAUAUUCCUUCAGUCUGAUUAUCUGUGCUUAUCUAUGCAGUGAACAUUUUGGAAAUGGAUCUUUUGUCUCAACCACCAUGGUGCUGAUAUACUUCCAACAAAGCCAACUUGGACAAGAGAUUUAGCUUUUUGACAGAUAAUAUAGGAGAAAGGAUCAUCUUGGUCACUGAUUAAAGUUCUAUCCUUUUAUGACACCAUUAACUGCAUCAGUACUCCAAUAUCUGCAAUACAGGCACCAUCUGCGGGCCUGUUGGUGAGAAGGUAUGAUAAGCAAUUUCUGGCCAUCAGGAAUCUUUUCUUUUUCCUUCUAACACACACCCUUGGAAAUGAGGCACGAUUUUGCUGUUCAGAGAGAAGGAUGCCUUUGUAAGGAUCUUUUAAUUUCCGUGUAGUGAUACUAGUAAGCAGUCUCUUGAUUUCUCUGUGGGCAAACACUUCGUCCCAUGUUAUUCCCUCUUUAAAAUGGGAAAAGUGAUGUUUGAUGCUCUCCCAGUAAUGCCACAGGGGUAAAUACACUACAUCUUGAGAUUCAUUUUUGUUCUACGUGAUGAAAUCUAUGUAUGAACUGCAGAUAGAUGGCUUUCUUUCUCUCUUAAAACUUCAUUUAUUGCUUCUGUUUCACAGCUUGAUGUGUGUUUCGUUGGACCAUGAUAUAAAGCACAACUGAAUGGUUUAGAUGUAUAGUGCCAUGAUUAUGAAACUUGAAUUACAAAGACAGAAAACAAAUCAGAAGAACAAGGAGAGAAUUAAACACUUUUGAUCAGCCUUUCUCCUGCACUUACUAUUUAAUUUAAACCAGAGCUGUUUCUUCUUGUAGUAGUCAUUCAUCUUCAAGAAGUGAAAAUACACUUGCAAAACUAAUAAAUGUGAAUCUAUUUGCAAAGAUAUGUAUUUAUGCGCCUGGCACUUCAGGGUGUUUAGAGGGUAAUCUCAAACUGUGAGCACUGCACUCUGUAAAUUUUGAAGCGAUUUUUCUAAAUGUCAAGUAUUUAUUACAUGAAAAAAACAUUUGGAGUGUGGAGCAGGUCCCUGGUGAUAUACGCUGCAUUUGGGGUAAGGCUUCUUGGAUGAACGGAAACAAUAUUUGAGUGCUGAAAAGCAAGUCCUCCACUUGAAAUUUCUUUGUGUACACGGAAAGGAAACUGAACAAAGCUGGAAAGCCAGCCAAGUAUUUUGUUUUGUCUCUUGCAUAAACUUAAUAUAAAAUAGUGAUUUUCCAAGC
Molecule: long non-coding RNA, 2768 nt
Organism: Gallus gallus (chicken)
Lineage: Eukaryota; Metazoa; Chordata; Aves; Galliformes; Phasianidae
Source: Ensembl